Molecule: ribosomal RNA, 406 nt
Filed under: uncultured bacterium
Lineage: Bacteria
Description: partial 16S ribosomal RNA
Rfam family: Bacterial small subunit ribosomal RNA
Source: RNAcentral
AUUGAACGCUGGAGGCAGGCCUAACACAUGCAAGUCGAACGAGUGGCGGACGGGUGAGUAAUGUCUGGGAAACUGCCUGCUGGAGGGGGAUAACUACUGGACACGGUAGCUAAUACCGCAUACCAUCAGAUGUGCCCAGAUGGGAUUAGCUAGUUGGUGGGGUAACGGCUCACCAAGGCGACGAGCCCUAGCUGGUCUGAGAGGAGGACCAGCCACACGGGAAUUGCGACACGGUCCCUACUCCUACGGGAGGAAGCAGUGGUGAAUAUUGCACAAUGGGCGCAAGCCUGAUGCAGCCAUGCCGCGGGUAUGAAGAAGGCCUUCGGGUUGUAAAGUACUUGCAGCGGGGAGGCGUUACCCGCAGAAGAAGCACCGGCUAACGCCGUGCCAGCAGCCGCGGUAAGAC